ACCUACCUAACCAUUUCUCUAUUCCUAUAUAUUUUUUUUCUUUACUUGCCUUGCUCUCAUUCUUCUCCUCAUCCUUCACACCCGAUCUCUUCUUUUAGCUGUUUUUUUUUUGUUUUUUUUGUUUUCCUUUUUGAUUGAUGUAGAAUUAGCGAUUUUACCCGACUGUUUACUCUUCCUAUUAUUUUCUUUCUGAUUUUAGCUUAGCUAAUUCCAUGAUUGCAUAAUUCAUAUCAUACUUGCGUAAAUGAAUGGUCAGCUUGUUUCUCCCAUCAUAUGCGAACUUACAAAUUUCAGUGAUUUUGGGGUUUUUUAAUUUUAUUUUAUUUAUUUUGUGCAGAAAUAAUAAUUUCAGUAAUUUUAAAAAAAAGUGUGUUUCCACACACUCGAUGGAGAAAAUGCACAAAAUAGGAACCUUUCAUGCACUCAUCAUUGGUCAAAGUAUUACCUGGUCAAAGGUAGUACCUAUAUCAUUAAAAUGUACUAGAAUUAUCAAAGUAGUAUCUUUAACCGAAAAGUGCACAAAAUUCUAAUUAAUUGUAGAUAUAUGUAUGAUGUUUGGAUUUGAAAAUCCUUGGUUCCUAUUUUGUGAUUUUUUCCAUGAGUGUGUGGAAACACAAUUCCCCCCCCCCCCC
Molecule: long non-coding RNA, 632 nt
Organism: Vitis vinifera (wine grape)
Lineage: Eukaryota; Viridiplantae; Streptophyta; Magnoliopsida; Vitales; Vitaceae
Exons: 2
Source: RefSeq, a predicted model, not a curated record